RNAcentral lists this ribosomal RNA (402 nucleotides) under uncultured bacterium. RNAcentral's name for it is "bacterial SSU rRNA". It matches the Rfam family "Bacterial small subunit ribosomal RNA", at positions 355 to 774 of the family's 1533-position model. The record is from RNAcentral.
UGGGGAAUCUUGCACAAUGGGGGCAACCCUGAUGCAGCGACGCCGCGUGAGCGAUGAAGCCCUUCGGGGCGUAAAGCUCUUUCGACCGGAACGAUAAUGACGGUACCGGGAGAAGAAGCUGCGGCUAACUACGUGCCAGCAGCCGCGGUAAUACGUAGGCAGCAAGCGUUGUUCGGAGUUACUGGGCGUAAAGAGUGCGUAGGCGGUUUUCUAAGUUCGGUGUGAAAUCUCCCGGCUUAACUGGGAGGGUGCGCCGAAGACUGGGAAGCUGGAGUGUGGGAAAGGCAGGCGGAAUUCCUGGUGUAGCGGUAAAAUGCGUAGAUAUCAGGAGUAACACCGGCGGUGUAGACGGCUUGCUAGACCAUAACUGACGCUGAGGCACGAAAGCGUGGGUAGCAAACA